UUAGGCUCUCCUUUGCUGAACGUGUCCAAUCUUGGAAGCUAAGCAGGGCUGAGCCUGCUUAAUACUUGGAUGGAAUGCCACGUGGGAAUACUAGGUNCUGUAGCCUUGC
RNAcentral lists this ribosomal RNA (109 nucleotides) under Salvator merianae (Argentine black and white tegu). The record is from RNAcentral. Lineage: Eukaryota; Metazoa; Chordata; Lepidosauria; Squamata; Teiidae.